UAGGGAAUCUUCGGCAAUGGACGAAAGUCUGACCGAGCAACGCCGCGUGAGUGAAGAAGGUUUUCGGAUCGUAAAACUCUGUUGGUAGAGAAGAACGUUGGUGAGAGUGGAAAGCUCAUCAAGUGACGGUAACUACCCAGAAAGGGACGGCUAACUACGUGCCAGCAGCCGCGGUAAUACGUAGGUCCCGAGCGUUGUCCGGAUUUAUUGGGCGUAAAGCGAGCGCAGGUGGUUUAUUAAGUCUGGUGUAAAAGGCAGUGGCUCAACCAUUGUAUGCAUUGGAAACUGGUAGACUUGAGUGCAGGAGAGGAGAGUGGAAUUCCAUGUGUAGCGGUGAAAUGCGUAGAUAUAUGGAGGAACACCGGUGGCGAAAGCGGCUCUCUGGCCUAUAACUGACACUGAGGCUCGAAAGCGUAGGGAGCAAACAGGAUUAGAUACCCUUGUAGUCCCUGAGCGGGCUGGCAAGGCGCAU
RNAcentral lists this ribosomal RNA (472 nucleotides) under uncultured bacterium. Its description in RNAcentral is "bacterial SSU rRNA". It matches the Rfam family "Bacterial small subunit ribosomal RNA", at positions 355 to 825 of the family's 1533-position model. The record is from RNAcentral.